Molecule: ribosomal RNA, 492 nt
Filed under: uncultured bacterium
Lineage: Bacteria
Description: partial 16S ribosomal RNA
Rfam family: Bacterial small subunit ribosomal RNA
Source: RNAcentral
AGUGAACGCUGGCGGUAGGCCUAACACAUGCAAGUCGAACGGCAGCACAGUAAGAGCUUGCUCUUACGGGUGGCGAGUGGCGGACGGGUGAGGAAUACAGCGGAAUCUACUUUUUCGGGGGGGAUAACGUAGGGAAACUUACGCUAAUACCGCAUACGACCUACGGGUGAAAGCAGGGGAUCUUCGGACCUUGCGCGAUUGAAUGAGGCGAUGUCGGAUUAGCUAGUUGGCGGGGUAAAGGCCCACCAAGGCGACGAUCCGUAGCUGGUCUGAGAGGAUGAUCAGCCACAGUGGAACUGAGACACAGUCCAGACUCCUACGGGAGGCCGAAGUGGGGAAUAUUAGACAAUGGGCGCAGGCCUGUACCAACCAUACCGCGUGGGUGAAGAAGGCAUUCGGGUUGUAAAGCCCUUUUGUUGGGGAAGAAAAGCUGUGGGUUAAUACCCCGCUGUUCUGACGGUACCCAAAGAAUAAGCACCGGCUAACUACGUG